RNAcentral lists this ribosomal RNA (463 nucleotides) under uncultured bacterium. RNAcentral describes it as "bacterial SSU rRNA". It matches the Rfam family "Bacterial small subunit ribosomal RNA", at positions 331 to 792 of the family's 1533-position model. The record is from RNAcentral.
CCAGACUCCUACGGGAGGCAGCAGUGAGGAAUAUUGGUCAAUGGCCGGAAGGCUGAACCAGCCAAGCCGCGUGAAGGACGAAGGUGCCAAGCAUUGUAAACUUCUUUUGUCAAGGGACAAAAUCAGGCUCGAGAGCCUGACCGAGGGUACUUGAAGAAAAAGCAUCGGCUAACUCCGUGCCAGCAGCCGCGGUAAUACGGAGGAUGCGAGCGUUAUCCGGAUUUAUUGGGUUUAAAGGGUGCGUAGGCGGGCUGUUAAGUCAGGGGUCAAAUGGCGGGGCGCAACCCCGGCCUGCCGUUGAAACUGGCGGCCUCGAGUGGGCGAGAAGUAUGCGGAAUGCGUGGUGUAGCGGUGAAAUGCAUAGAUAUCACGCAGAACUCCGAUUGCGAAGGCAGCAUACCGGCGCUCAACUGACGCUCAUGCACGAAAGUGUGGGUAUCGAACAGGAUUAGAUACCCUUGUA